AUUGAACGCUGGCGGCAGGCCUAACACAUGCAAGUCGAGCGGCGCAGCGGACGGGUGAGUAAUGCCUAGGAAUCUGCCUGUGAGUGGGGGAUGACGUCCGGAAACGGGCGCUAAUACCGCAUCCUAUCAGAUGAGCCUAGGUCGGAUUAGCUAGAUGGUGGGGUAAAGGCCUACCAAGGCGACGAUCCGUAACUGGUCUGAGCGGAUGAGCAGUCACACUGGAAAUGAGACACGGUCCAGACUCCUACGGGAGGCAGCAGUGGGGAAUAUUGCACAAUGGGCUCAAGCCUGAUCCAGCCAUGCCGCGUGUGUGAAGAAGGUCUUCGGAUUGUAAAGUACUUUAAGCUGGGAGGCGUUACCAACAGAAGAAGCACCGGCUAACUCCGUGCCAGCAGCCGCGGUAAUAC
This 407-nucleotide ribosomal RNA is filed under the name uncultured bacterium. RNAcentral describes it as "partial 16S ribosomal RNA". It matches the Rfam family "Bacterial small subunit ribosomal RNA", at positions 30 to 526 of the family's 1533-position model. The record is from RNAcentral.